UUUAGGAAAGCUCAGUUGGUAGAGCAUGAGAUUCUUAAAUCCCAGGGUCAUGGGUUCUAAUCCCGUUGCCUUGAU
Podarcis lilfordi (Lilford's wall lizard) is the source of this 75-nucleotide non-coding RNA. The record is from the annotation of a GenBank genome assembly. Lineage: Eukaryota; Metazoa; Chordata; Lepidosauria; Squamata; Lacertidae.